CUCAUUUUCUCUUGCUGCUGCCAUGUAAGAAGUGCCUUUUGCCUCCUGCCAUGAUUCUGAGGCCUCCCCAGCCAUGUGGAACUGGCUCAGUGUGGUCAAAAGAAGACUAUAGAAUCAAGGAUGAAGAGAAGGAACACAGAAUAAAAGGACGUCUCAGCAGGAAGCUCUGUGACUACUAUGUCAAAUGAUGCCAUACAGUGAAGCACCUUGAAAGAUUGCUGGGAUAAGCUGACAGCAUGGCAGCCAAAAUAGUGACCCCAGGCUUGCAGGAAUUCUGUGCUUUCUGGAGGAAAUGGUCAUGGGUUUCCCAACCUGCCUUUUAAACUAAGAUCUCACUGAGCCUGGCCCUGUGGAAUUACUGGACCGAGCUGAAGAAGCCCCCGUCUUCCAGCGCAUGUUAUUCCCAUGACAGAUGCUAAAAGUUCAA
This is a long non-coding RNA of Homo sapiens (human), 427 nucleotides long. Ensembl annotates it as SYT9 antisense RNA 1. Its record names the gene SYT9-AS1. NCBI's taxonomy places the organism in Eukaryota, Metazoa, Chordata, Mammalia, Primates, Hominidae. The record is from Ensembl.